CCUACGGGAGGCAGCAGUAGGGGAUCUUCCACAAUGGGCAAAAGCCUGAUGGAGCAACGCCGCGUGGGUGAAGAAGGUCUUCGGAUCGUAAAACCCUGUUGUUAGAGAAGAAAGUGCGUGAGAGUAACUGUUCACGUUUCGACGGUAUCUAACCAGAAAGCCACGGCUAACUACGUGCCAGCAGCCGCGGUAAU
RNAcentral lists this ribosomal RNA (194 nucleotides) under uncultured Lactobacillus sp. RNAcentral describes it as "partial 16S ribosomal RNA". It matches the Rfam family "Bacterial small subunit ribosomal RNA", at positions 338 to 524 of the family's 1533-position model. The record is from RNAcentral. Lineage: Bacteria; Bacillati; Bacillota; Bacilli; Lactobacillales; Lactobacillaceae.